Molecule: ribosomal RNA, 713 nt
Filed under: uncultured bacterium
Lineage: Bacteria
Description: bacterial SSU rRNA
Rfam family: Bacterial small subunit ribosomal RNA
Source: RNAcentral
GCAGUCGAACGGUAACAUAAAGAAGCUUGCUUCUUUGAUGACGAGUGGCGGUACGGGUGAGUAAUGCUUGGGAAUCUAGCUUAUGGAGGGGGAUAACUACGGGAAACUGUAGCUAAUACCGCGUAAUAUCGAAAGAUUAAAGUGUGGGACCUUCGGGCCACAUGCCAUAGGAUGAGCCCAAGUGGGAUUAGGUAGUUGGUGAGGUAAAGGCUCACCAAGCCGACGAUCUCUAGCUGGUCUGAGAGGAUGACCAGCCACACUGGGACUGAGACACGGCCCAGACUCCUACGGGAGGCAGCAGUGGGGAAUAUUGCGCAAUGGGGGCAACCCUGACGCAGCCAUGCCGCGUGAAUGAAGAAGGCCUUCGGGUUGUAAAGUUCUUUCGGUAGCGAGGAAGGCAUUUAGUUUAAUAGACUAGGUGAUUGACGUUAACUACAGAAGAAGCACCGGCUAACUCCGUGCCAGCAGCCGCGGUUAUACGGAGGGUGCGAGCGUUAAUCGGAAUAACUGGGCGUAAAGGGCACGCAGGCGGUGACUUAAGUGAGGUGUGAAAGCCCCGGGCUUAACCUGGGAAUUGCAUUUCAUACUGGGUCGCUAGAGUACUUUAGGGAGGGGUAGAAUUCCACGUGUAGCGGUGAAAUGCGUAGAGAUGUGGAGGAAUACCGAAGGCGAAGGCAGCCCCUUGGGAAUGUACUGACGCUCAUGUGCGAAAG